CAGCAGCCACGGUAAUACGUAGGUGGCAAGCGUCGUCCGGAAUUAUUGGGCGUAAAGGGCUCGCAGGCGGUUUCUUAAGUCUGAUGUGGAAGCCCCCGGCUCAACCGGGGAGGGUCAUUGGAAACUGGGAAACUUGAGUGCAGAAGAGGAGAGUGGAAUUCCACGUGUAGCGGUGAAAUGCGUAGAGAUGUGGAGGAACACCAGUGGCGAAGGCGACUCUCUGGUCUGUAACUGACGCUGAGGAGCGAAAGCGUGGGGAGCGAACAGGAUUAGAUACCCCCGUAGUCCCUGUCUCUUAUAC
This 301-nucleotide ribosomal RNA is filed under the name uncultured bacterium. Its description in RNAcentral is "partial 16S ribosomal RNA". It matches the Rfam family "Bacterial small subunit ribosomal RNA", at positions 509 to 807 of the family's 1533-position model. The record is from RNAcentral.